Long non-coding RNA from Artibeus jamaicensis (Jamaican fruit-eating bat), 696 nucleotides. RefSeq lists it as uncharacterized. Lineage: Eukaryota; Metazoa; Chordata; Mammalia; Chiroptera; Phyllostomidae. The record is from RefSeq and is a predicted model, not a curated record. The transcript has 3 exons.
AAAAAUGUCUUGUUUUUUCUUUAAAAACAAAUGUUCUGCUCAUUUUCCUACAACACAAUCAAGAUAAUAUUCAGCCUGGAAAGACGGGAAUUCGCAGAGACACGGACUGGUACGGGUUCUGGCCUCGCCCCAGAGCCCGCGUGUAGGGCGGUGGGCUGGACAGAAGGGGCCACGAGGCUGUACGUGGCGCCAGCCCUCAGCACGGCCCUCUGCGCCAUGUCCCUGUCCCCCACAGCCCCUGGGAGAGGACGAGCACCAUAGCGGUGGCUACUAUUGCCACUUUGCAGCUGAGAGGAGAGUCUAGUGGGGGCAAGAGACAAGCGGACUGACCAUGGCCACCAGGGUCUUGGAGGAGGGAAAGGCUGCACCAGAUCCUACAGAAUGAACAGCUGACCCGGUGACAGUGGCAGAUUCCCACGGCUGCACAUCUGCCCCGGCGCUCCCACCGUUGAGAGGGGGCUCCGGUCACCCCUCCCGUCCCUCCGGGUGGGCCACAUGACUGCCUGGGCCAGUGGAGGACGGCAGGGGUGAUGCUGGGACAGUUCCAGGGGUGGCCCUUGUCUGGCGUGGCAGCUGCAGCCUCGGCCCCUCCGAGUCUUGAGCAGCAAGACAUCCUUCUCAUCCUGGAGAACCAGGAUGAGGCCACCCUGUGGGCACCCACUGGGCACCGCCCUGUGGAACCUUCAGGUGACCCCA